This 23-nucleotide non-coding RNA is filed under the name Cricetulus griseus (Chinese hamster). Lineage: Eukaryota; Metazoa; Chordata; Mammalia; Rodentia; Cricetidae. The record is from RNAcentral.
GCAGAACAAACUGGAGUCUAGAC